Molecule: ribosomal RNA, 554 nt
Filed under: uncultured Fibrobacterota bacterium
Lineage: Bacteria; Pseudomonadati; Fibrobacterota
Description: bacterial SSU rRNA
Rfam family: Bacterial small subunit ribosomal RNA
Source: RNAcentral
UGCACGUCGAGGGUUUGAUUUAUCAAGCACAUGGCAUCCGGGUGAGUAACGCGUAGGUCAUCUGCCCCUAUCACAGACAUAACAGUUCUAACGGACUGCUAAUAUCUGAUGAGGCGAGCAAUCGUCAAAGCUUUGGCGGAUAGGGAUGAGCCUGCGUCUGAUUAGGUAGUUGGUGAGGUAAUGGCUCACCAAGCCUUCGAUCAGUAGCUGGUCUGAGAGGACGAACAGCCACACUGGAACUGAGACACGGUCCANACUCNUACGGGAGGCAGCAGUGAGGAAUAUUGGUCAAUGGGCGCAAGCCUGAACCAGCGACGCCGCGUGGGGGAUGAAGGGGCUUUGCCUCGUAAACCUCUGUCGGAUGGGACGAAAGGUGGCUUUGAGCCACUGGGACGGUACCAUCAAAGGAAGGAUCGGCUAACUACGUGCCAGCAGCCGCGGUAAUACGUAGGAUCCGAGCGUUGUCCGGAGUUACUGGGUGUAAAGGGUGCGUAGGCUGUUCUGUGCGUCAGAGGUGAAAUCCACGGGCUUAACUCGUGGGGUGCCUUUGAUAC